Molecule: ribosomal RNA, 608 nt
Filed under: uncultured bacterium
Lineage: Bacteria
Description: bacterial SSU rRNA
Rfam family: Bacterial small subunit ribosomal RNA
Source: RNAcentral
CCAGACUCCUACGGGAGGCAGCAGUGGGGAAUUUUGGACAAUGGGCGCAAGCCUGAUCCAGCCAUGCCGCGUGUCUGAAGAAGGCCUUCGGGUUGUAAAGGACUUUUGUUAGGGAAGAAAAGGAUAGUGUUAAUACCAUUAUCUGCUGACGGUACCUAAAGAAUAAGCACCGGCUAACUACGUGCCAGCAGCCGCGGUAAUACGUAGGGUGCGAGCGUUAAUCGGAAUUACUGGGCGUAAAGCGAGCGCAGACGGUUUAUUAAGCAAGAUGUGAAAUCCCCGAGCUUAACUUGGGAACUGCGUUUUGAACUGGUAAGCUAGAGUAUGUCAGAGGGGGGGUAGAAUUCCACGUGUAGCAGUGAAAUGCGUAGAGAUGUGGAGGAAUACCGAUGGCGAAGGCAGCCCCCUGGGAUAAUACUGACGUUCAUGCUCGAAAGCGUGGGUAGCAAACAGGAUUAGAUACCCUGGUAGUCCACGCCCUAAACGAUGUCAAUUAGCUGUUGGGCAGCUUGACUGCUUAGUAGCGAAGCUAACGCGUGAAAUCGACCGCCUGGGGAGUACGGUCGCAAGAUUAAAACUCAAAGGAAUUGACGGGGGCCCCGCACAAG